CUUCUUACCAGUUGGAACAUC
Molecule: non-coding RNA, 21 nt
Filed under: Mus musculus (house mouse)
Lineage: Eukaryota; Metazoa; Chordata; Mammalia; Rodentia; Muridae
Source: RNAcentral